This is a small nucleolar RNA of Ornithorhynchus anatinus (platypus), 138 nucleotides long. Lineage: Eukaryota; Metazoa; Chordata; Mammalia; Monotremata; Ornithorhynchidae. The record is from RefSeq and is a predicted model, not a curated record.
CCCCUCUCAGGAUCACAAUUGGAGAGUUUCCAGUACUCUACCAGUCUCGACUAUGGGAGGGAGCAUCAAGCGGAGGCGUACCCAUUCCAUUCCUAGCUUGGGCAGUGGCUAGCAAAUGGAAGACAAUCUGCUACAAAU